UACGAAGGGGGCUAGCGUUGUUCGGAAUCACUGGGCGUAAAGGGCGCGUAGGCGGCUUUGUAAGUCGGGGGUGAAAGCCUGUGGCUCAACCACAGAAUUGCCUUCGAUACUGCAUGGCUUGAGACCGGAAGAGGUAAGUGGAACUGCGAGUGUAGAGGUGAAAUUCGUAGAUAUUCGCAAGAACACCAGUGGCGAAGGCAGCUCGCUGGGACGGUACUGACACUGAGACGCGAAAGCGUGGGGAGCAAACAGG
RNAcentral lists this ribosomal RNA (253 nucleotides) under uncultured bacterium. Its description in RNAcentral is "partial 16S ribosomal RNA". It matches the Rfam family "Bacterial small subunit ribosomal RNA", at positions 524 to 776 of the family's 1533-position model. The record is from RNAcentral.